CCUACGGGAGGCAGCAGUGAGGAAUAUUGGUCAAUGGGAGAGAUCCUGAACCAGCCAAGCCGCGUGAGGGAAGACGGCCCUAUGGGUUGUAAACCUCUUUUGUCGGAGAACAAAACCCGGGACGUGUCCCGGACUGCGUGUAUCCGAAGAAAAAGCAUCGGCUAACUCCGUGCCAGCAGCCGCGGUAAUACGGAGGAUGCGAGCGUUAUCCGGAUUUAUUGGGUUUAAAGGGUGCGUAGGCGGUCCGUUAAGUCAGCGGUAAACUUGCGGGGCUCAACCCCGUCGAGCCGUUGAAACUGGCAGACUUGAGUUGGCGAGAAGUACGCGGAAUGCGCGGUGUAGCGGUGAAAUGCAUAGAUAUCGCGCAGAACUCCGAUUGCGAAGGCAGCGUACCGGCGCCAGACUGACGCUGAGGCAUGAAAGCGUGGGGAUCGAACAGGAUUAGAUACCCCAGUAGUC
Molecule: ribosomal RNA, 459 nt
Filed under: uncultured bacterium
Lineage: Bacteria
Description: partial 16S ribosomal RNA
Rfam family: Bacterial small subunit ribosomal RNA
Source: RNAcentral